GACGAACGCUGGCGGCGUGCUUAACACAUGCAAGUCGAACGGAAAGGCCCUGCUUGCAGGGUGCUCGAGUGGCGAACGGGUGAGUAACACGUGGGUGAUCUGCCCCUUACUUUGGGAUAAGCCUGGGAAACUGGGUCUAAUACUGGAUAGGACCAUGCUGUAGGUGGUGUGGUGGAAAGAUUAGUUUCGGUAAGGGAUGAGCUCGCGGCCUAUCAGCUUGUUGGUGGGGUAAUGGCCUACCAAGGCGUCGACGGGUAGCCGGCCUGAGAGGGUGGACGGACACAUUGGGACUGAGAUACGGCCCAGACUCCUACGGGAGGCAGCAGUGGGGAAUAUUGCACAAUGGGCGCAAGCCUGAUGCAGCGACGCCGCGUGGGGGAUGACGGCCUUCGGGUUGUAAACUCCUUUCAGCCAUGACGAAGCCCUUGUGGUGACGGUAGUGGUAGAAGAAGCACCGGCUAACUACGUG
This 469-nucleotide ribosomal RNA is filed under the name uncultured bacterium. RNAcentral describes it as "partial 16S ribosomal RNA". It matches the Rfam family "Bacterial small subunit ribosomal RNA", at positions 28 to 507 of the family's 1533-position model. The record is from RNAcentral.